RNAcentral lists this ribosomal RNA (387 nucleotides) under uncultured fungus. RNAcentral's name for it is "eukaryotic LSU rRNA". The stretch from base 16 to 169 matches the Rfam family "5.8S ribosomal RNA". Lineage: Eukaryota; Fungi. The record is from RNAcentral.
CCAAUAGAACAAUACAACUUUCAACAAUGGAUCUCUUGGUUCUCGCAUCGAUGAAGAACGCAGCGAAUUGCGAUAUGUAAUGUGAAUUGCAGAAUUCAGUGAAUCAUCGAAUCUUUGAACGCACCUUGCGCCCUUUGGUAUUCCGAAGGGCAUGCCUGUUUGAGUGUCAUUAAAUUCUCAACUUCAACACUUUUUUGUAUUGAAGCUUGGAUGUUGGAGGGUCUUGCGGGCAUAUAUUAAUGUCAGCUCCUCUUAAAUGCAUUAGCAGAACCUGUGUUCGGCUCUGGUUUGAUAAUCCUAUCUAUGCCAUUGCUGAAAUGUCAUUGUUCAGCUUCUAAUGGUCCAUUGGACUGUCUCUUCAGAGGCAUAUAUUUUGACUUGACCUCA